Molecule: non-coding RNA, 84 nt
Organism: Apaloderma vittatum (bar-tailed trogon)
Lineage: Eukaryota; Metazoa; Chordata; Aves; Trogoniformes; Trogonidae
Source: Rfam
GGGUCGGUGAGCUCAGUGGUUUGAGCACGGUGCUGACAACAAGGACCAACACUGAAGUCGCGGGUUCGAUUCCCGCUCAGUCUC